AGGGCCAUUUGUUUGACCGUAUUGAUUAUUUUGUUUUCAUGACGCAAGAGAUAGCUUUGUUCUAUUUUGUAUGUUAAAGAUUUAGGAGCCCGAUUAAGUGUUGUGAUUAGGUGUUGAGUGUCGCCUAAGCGUGCGGAACCGGGCAGAAGCGAAGAAAAGUGCAGUGCUGAGCAUCUAUGGUCGCCGGCGGCAAAACGAAAAAUUGAGGGUAGGUGGGAGGGAAAAGUAGAAGAUAGGGUUUCCGCCCCAGAUUGAGGUCGACCUUGUCGCCGCCAUCCGUCCGCUGCGCCUCAGCACUCAGGUACUGUCAAGAAACGGACAUUGAUCCGGGUGCGGGUGGGUCGGUGCCUGAGGUGCCAAUGGUAUAGACCGGCAACUCAAGCGAUGUUGGUUUGAAGUAUGGCAAAUAUUGUGAUCCAAUCAACAAGAGUAAGCUUGAUGUGCUGCAUGGUGGUAGGAUCUAGCUUUGAAUCCUUCAUACUGUCCUGAGCUAUUAUGGAAGGUGCAGCCUGUUGAUACAACUUCUGCCUUUUGCCACCCUUGACAAAAUUAAACGCUGCUGUUUUGCAUCUUCAGAAAUGUUCGUGCAAAACAGAAGGAAUUGUGUUGUGUAAUUGCAGUCAAGUGCAACGCAGAAUUAAUAAGGUACCUCUCAUACUUUGGAGAUUACGAGUAAGAUCCAAGGUUCAGUACCGAUCGAUAAGAGAGGAUUAGGGAAGAAUUGCACAGUUCUAGGGCAAGGGCAGGGAAUAUCAUCAGUACAAGAACUCUGGUUAUCCCUCAACAGGAAGAGGAUCAUCAUAAAGAGAACCUUAAAACUCAAGUUGCAGAAAAAGCAUCAUGGAA
This is a long non-coding RNA of Lolium rigidum, 846 nucleotides long. RefSeq lists it as uncharacterized. The transcript has 6 exons. The record is from RefSeq and is a predicted model, not a curated record. NCBI's taxonomy places the organism in Eukaryota, Viridiplantae, Streptophyta, Magnoliopsida, Poales, Poaceae.